This is a long non-coding RNA of Rattus norvegicus (Norway rat), 618 nucleotides long. RefSeq lists it as uncharacterized. Lineage: Eukaryota; Metazoa; Chordata; Mammalia; Rodentia; Muridae. The record is from RefSeq and is a predicted model, not a curated record.
UGGGUGUUUAUCAUCCUCGGUGGCUCUGCUCAGGGUGGGAGGAGGCGGCGCGGGGAGUGGGUAGGUGGACGAGUGGGUGGGUGUGGGGUCGCGCGCGCGGGCCGGUCUCUGCGGGCUAAGUCCCUGUCAGGCCGCGGGCCGAGAGCCCUCCUCUUGCCUCAGCGAGCGCCUGCCUCCAACUGACCCUCCCCGGCCGCCGCCGCCGCGCAACCGCCCCGCCCCCAAGCGCCUCAUCUGCAUAGCCCCACCCAGCGCCGCUUGGUGUCCUGGGAAACUGGGGCCCACAACAAAGGGCAAAGCACCGCCCCGCCUUAGGCGCAGGCGUAGCAAGGGCAAGCUAUCAUCUUGGGAAGAGGGGCGGGAGCCCGGGGGAAAGCCAGGAAGGAGGUCUGGAUGCCAGGGACUCAGGAGUCCAGGAAUAUUCCACGAUGGGCUGGGCAAUAUACCUACCUUGGAUGUCACAAUCUGGCCAGGGAGAGAGGCCAUCACAAUAUGAGCUGCUCUAACCAACCAAGGCCCAGGCUCCCAGCUCCACACCUGUGAUCAGCUCCUUGAUCAGGCCUUUUGGGAUGAAAGCUCCAAGACUGAAAAAUAAAAAGGAAUUACUGUGUAAUUAAA